Molecule: long non-coding RNA, 1911 nt
Filed under: Salvia miltiorrhiza (redroot sage)
Lineage: Eukaryota; Viridiplantae; Streptophyta; Magnoliopsida; Lamiales; Lamiaceae
Description: long non-coding RNA (SMIL_LNC008078)
Source: RNAcentral
UUAAAUUCUAAAAAACACAUUCAUUCAAUAAUCAUCCAACAUUAAGAAUCUUACAUCCAUAAGUUUGAGUUAAUGUUUGAAUACAUCCUAUAAGCUAAUACAAACAAAAAAAGAAAAGUAGUUUGAAGUAGCAGCCGCUGGAACCUCAUAUCCAAAACUAACGAAUCUCUCUUCAUGAACCAUCCUUUCACUUGUCAAUCUACAAUUAAAGCAUAUUAGUUUGAAGAGUUAUAUGCAUUAUUUGGAUAUUAUAAUAGUUAGAUAUAAAUUUUAUGGAUUAUUUGACAAACCUCAUUGAUCACACAAGAAACCCAAUCCUCACGAACCUCGUCAAUCUCCCUUCGACAGCCCUAUUCACAAAUUCGUCACCAACAACACCAAAAACAAUCAUAAAGUACUAAAUAACUAAACGGAAUGAAAAAAGAUAUGGUAACAACUAACAAAGGCCUUUGUUCCACAGGGAUUCCAACCUCAGUGUCAGCAGUAAUCACUAUUUUGCUCUUUUAACAGUUAAAAACAGAAACCUACCUUAGUUACAAUUUGAAAAGCUUUAUCACCACAAUGUACUAAAUAACUAAUGGAUGCUUAAAUAACUAGCAUAAUAGAAGAUGCAAAAUUAUAAGAGAUUCAUAAGUAUAUACUUACUCUUAUACCUGGUAAAGAUCUGCAUAUGAAACUAAAGUGUUUAGAUUUUACUUCUUCUUCUGUUUGACUGUAUGUAUCAUGCAGUGCUUGUUAUUAGUUUCAUAGAGAUAAACAUAAAAGAAAGAAGAAAAGGAACACAACUCAGUAGCUUUCCAAAGACAAACAUAAAAGAUAGAUGUAAAAAAAAAAAAAGCAAUUCUCAUAUCAUAUCCAACCUUUUCGUUUCUUAAUCUUUUCCUAGAGAGAUUCAACACUAAUCCACAGAUACAAAAAAGCACGAAUUAUUUCUGUGGUGUCCGCAUCAGAGGAUAACACGAAGAUCAAGAUUUGAAAAGAAGGUGAAACCAGAAAACAAAUUAUAUGAGUUGGACAAAAAUCAUAAGAUUACACAUCCCACGAAUCAUUGAGAAAAUACGUUAAAGCAACAAAAACCAAAACCAUGGAAUUGUCUGAUGCAAUGACUAAGGUUCCCAGUAGAAGAAUACCACUGACAAUGCGAGUGACGUCUAUUAAAGAACAUCCUACAAAUUCCUAGAGCUAAACUACAACUACAAGCCAAUGGGAAUAUGAACAUCCAAGAGCCACAGCUCUGCAGUCAUAUAGUCAAAAUUCUUAUUCCUCAGUAAUCAAUGUACCAAUAAUGCCAAACAAGACAGCUGAAAGAAAUCGACAUAUGCAGAAACUAAUUCAUCAGACUUUGUUCUGCGAAGACAAAAACUAUAUAAGUAUCUUGCAUUUUCCAGAUAUCAAUUUCAUCUAAUUACAUAUCUGAAGAAAAAAAGGACAAGCUAAACUAUGUGAAUGAUAAAUUUCCAGAACACAAAGGAUAGAACCCCAUAUAUCUCAUCAAGUGAAGGUUUCAACGAAAGAUCUAAAUUUCCAAUCCAAUCAAUCAGCAAACAUCGAAAAAAGAUAAAUAAAAGAAUAUGCCAUAUUCAAUUCACGCAAUCAAUUCUUCAUAAUAAUCUGCCCCUAAAAUUCGAGCCAUAAAUACAUUUUUGAAUUUCAGUUGAGUUGUUACCUGAAGAAUGAAAGCUGAUGAACUGAUUCAGAGGCUGGAGGCGAUGAUGACACGAUUAGAGCGGCAACAGACGUUUCUACAAUAUUUCUGGAAUUUUCAAUCUUCAGCUUUAAAUCUCAUUUUCCUUCAGCUUCAGCAAAGCAAACAAACAUAAUGGCAGAAAUCGAACCUCUAGCUAAUUUAAAUAGAAUAGUACAACCUCAAGAGACACAAAUUCGAUGAAUCCAAAAAUGUCUUGAUUUCCC